GUCCCUGUCGAUUAGUGGUCAGAUCGUCACGUUGUGGAAACACAAGCCCGUGAAGACGGAGGCUCGAAUCCUCCCUGGGACA
RNAcentral lists this transfer RNA (82 nucleotides) under Trametes sanguinea. RNAcentral describes it as "tRNA-His". It matches the Rfam family "tRNA". Rfam says of the family: Transfer RNA (tRNA) molecules are approximately 80 nucleotides in length. Their secondary structure includes four short double-helical elements and three loops (D, anti-codon, and T loops). Further hydrogen bonds mediate the characteristic L-shaped molecular structure. tRNAs have two regions of fundamental functional importance: the anti-codon, which is responsible for specific mRNA codon recognition, and the 3' end, to which the tRNAs corresponding amino acid is attached (by aminoacyl-tRNA synthetases). tRNAs cope with the degeneracy of the genetic code in two manners: having more than one tRNA (with a specific anti-codon) for a particular amino acid; and 'wobble' base-pairing, i.e. permitting non-standard base-pairing at the 3rd anti-codon position. Lineage: Eukaryota; Fungi; Basidiomycota; Agaricomycetes; Polyporales; Polyporaceae. The record is from RNAcentral. RNAcentral also lists the same sequence under 2 other names.